UUCCGGUUGAUCCCGCCGGACCUGACUGCUAUCGGAUUGAUACUAAGCCAUGCGAGUCAUUGUAGUGAUACAAGGCAGACGGCGCAGUAACGCGUAGUCAACCUACCCUGUGGACGGGGAUAACCUCGGGAAACUGAGAAUAAUACCCGAUAGAACAUUAUGCCUGGAAUAGUUUAUGUUUCAAAUAAUUUAUUGCCGUAGGAUGGGACUGCGUCCUAUCAGUUUGUUGGUGAGGUAAUGGCCCACCAAGACUAUUACAGGUACGGGCUCUGAGAGGAGUAGCCCGGAGAUGGGUACUGAGACACGGACCCAGGCCCUAUGGGGCGCAGCAGGCGAGAAAACUUUGCAAUGUGCGAAAGCACGACAAGGUUAAUCCGAGUGGUUUCUGCUAAAGGAACCUUUUGUCAGUCCUAGAAACACUGAUGAAUAAGGGGUGGGCAAGUUCUGGUGUCAGCCGCCGCGGUAAAACCAGCACCUCAAGUGGUCAGGAUGAUUAUUGGGCCUAAAGCAUCCGUAGCCUGCUUUGUAAGUUUUCGGUUAAAUCCAUACGCUCAACGUAUGGGCUGCCGGGAAUACUGCAAAGCUAGGGAGUGGGAGAGGUAGACGGUACUCGGUAGGAAGGGGUAAAAUCCUUUGAUCUAUUGAUGACCACCUGUGGCGAAGGCGGUCUACCAGGACACGUCCGACGGUGAGGGAUGAAAGCUGGGGGAGCAAACCGGAUUAGAUACCCGGGUAGUCCCAGCUGUAAACUAUGCAAACUCAGUGAUGCAUUGGCUUGAUGCCAAUGCAGUGCUGCAGGGAAGCCGUUAAGUUUGCCGCCUGGGAAGUACGUACGCAAGUAUGAAACUUAAAGGAAUUGGCGGGGGAGCACCACAAGGGGUGAAGCCUGCGGUUCAAUUGGAGUCAACGCCGGG
Molecule: ribosomal RNA, 914 nt
Filed under: uncultured archaeon
Lineage: Archaea
Description: bacterial SSU rRNA
Rfam family: Archaeal small subunit ribosomal RNA
Source: RNAcentral